CUAUUAAAGCCACCAAGAGUGCAUUUUGUCCUGCUCCUCCCUGGCCAGCAGAAGUGGCUGACAGGACCACAUUAGGACUUGGUGGGCCAUAAGCAUUUUUUGUUGUCAUGGACCCCUUUUUCCAUUAAAAAAGUAAAAAGUUACAUUUUACAGUUGUGUUGGGAUAAAGGUAAAUAUAUUCACAUUAUAUAUGAAAACAUUUCUGUUGACUUAGAAGAUCAUUUCUUCCCUCUGAUUUUAAAACAACUCAGAAUACUUUGUGGGCUCCUAGGAGUACCAUGGGCUGGGGCUGAGCCUGGUGUGUCUGGUGGAGAAGCCGCCCUGAUGGCUAGGGCUCCAG
RNAcentral lists this long non-coding RNA (340 nucleotides) under Homo sapiens (human). Its description in RNAcentral is "non-protein coding lnc-VEGFA-2:1". The record is from RNAcentral. Lineage: Eukaryota; Metazoa; Chordata; Mammalia; Primates; Hominidae.